AAGGUCAAGGUAAAAAAAGCCGCAAGGCUUGAGAGGAGGGGUGAGAAAAAAUUGUAUAAAAGGCGAGAGAAAAGUUGAUUGGGAUCAGUCGAGUGAGUGUCUCCGACAUGUCAACAGCUGCAUUCUUCGUCGUGAUAUCAGUUCGCAAUUAUGGUUAAUUAUGGUGUUGUGUUGCUGUUGGGUGUUGUAUCGUUGAUGUCGACCUCGAGAGAAAAUCUUUUAAAAGGAAAGAAAAAGGGCAACGGAAGUCAAUCGAGUGAGCAUCUCCGACCCGGCAGCAGCUGCAUUCUUCGUCGUAUUAUCAGGUGACAAUCACGGUCUGGUUAAUUAUGCUGUCGUGCUGCUAUUGGUUGUUGUAUCGUCGAUGGCUGGGUCGACCACUGGUGUACCGAUGUCUCCUGGAUAAGGUGGAUACCAAACCGCAACACCGCCGCCUUACUACACAACAACAUACUCAAAGACCAGUUACUACACCGAGGUUGCACUGUUGGGUUUAGCCUACAGUUAAACCACCAAGGAUCCAGAUUAUUACACCAUAACUUGUGCUGCUCCCCAAGCUACACCACCAAAGCGCUAGAGUACUACACCGAGGCUCCCAAGUACUACACCACCAUGGCAUCUGAGACUACACAAAUACGUAUGCUGCCCCAACCUACGACACCGAGGCUCCAGCUUAUUACACCACCAAAGCUGUUGAAUACUACACUGGAGCGCCCAAGUACGAUAGAAGUCAGUCGAUUGAGCCGAACUUGGCGGUGGCCGUACCAUCACCUACGACAAGUGCGUUAUUGCCACAGGUGGUAAACAAAAAUCUUUUCCAAUCCCUGAGCGGUGCCCUUAAAGAUGUCCACGAGCACGUCACGCUGUCCCGCAACAUCGAUGGCGCUAACACAUGCCGAGUCCUCUAAAUGUUUAACCAAUGGACAACCGAGAAGGUGAAAGCGGAAAGUGUUAAUGUGUUGCCCAAAACUUAUGUUGAGGCUGCAAUUAUGGAAGACGACGAGGUUGCAUUGACCUUAUACGAUGGUCAAAAGAUUUAAACUGACCAUGUCGUCUCGGUUGUCGGUUGGGACGCAACAACGGAUUUGGCUGUCGCUUCUGGUUUGGAAAUAGAUUCAAAUUUUGGUGGUUAUCGAGUCAAUACCGAUCUCGAAGCACGAUCGACCGUCUGGCUGGCUGGAGAUGCUGCCUUCUUUUGUAAUAGCAAAUUGGGUCGUCGUCGUAUGGAACAUCAUCAUUUUGCUGUUGUAUUAGGGUGAUUGGCUGGAGAGAACAAUACUGGCAAGGAAACAUGGAUGAACAACUGCAGUGUACUCUUCCCAACUGCAUUCUUCGUCGUAUUAUCAGUACGCAAUCGGUUGAUGAUGGUGUGGUGCUGUUGCCGUUUGUCGUAUCGUUGAAGGCUGGGUCGAUCACUGGUGUACAAUGUCUCCUGGGUAUGGUGGAUACCAAAGCACCACACCGCCGCCUUACUACACAACGACAACAUUCGCACCAACCGGUUACUACACUGAGGCCCACAAUUACUACAUCACCAAGGUUCCAGAAUAUUACACCGCAGCUAACACUGCCCCAAGCUACAUCAUCAAAGAUCCUGAGUACUACACUCAGGCUCCCAAGUACUACACCACCAAGUCACCGGAGUACUACACGUAUGUUGCCCCAGCUUACUAUGUACACCGAGAUUCCCAAGAAUUAUAUAGUUCCUAGCUACUACACCGAGGCUCCAACUUAUUACUCCAUCAAAGCGGCUGAAUACUACACCGAGUCGCCCAAUUACUACACCAACAAGACUCCAGAUUAUUACACCACAACUUAUGCUUCACCGAGCCACUGAACUAUAGUAAUCAACUUUAUUUACAGGGCAAGAUUCGAAAGAAAUGUACUGUGGUGUUAACUAAAAAUUUUCGAUGUUAAUAGUUCUGUUUUUAACUUAAGUUGGGGCAAAGAAGGUGUUGUAGAUAAUGUUUGGUUUGUCACAGCAAUUUAUUUGAAAAAUCUGGAAAUGAUCAGUCACAAAAAUAUACAAGUCAAAUGCUAAAUA
RNAcentral lists this unclassified non-coding RNA (2044 nucleotides) under Daphnia pulicaria. Its description in RNAcentral is "uncharacterized LOC124326569, transcript variant X1". The record is from RNAcentral. Lineage: Eukaryota; Metazoa; Arthropoda; Branchiopoda; Diplostraca; Daphniidae.